This is an RNA transcript of Cygnus olor (mute swan), 3280 nucleotides long. It is a transcript of the gene named zinc finger protein 143, with no coding region annotated. NCBI's taxonomy places the organism in Eukaryota, Metazoa, Chordata, Aves, Anseriformes, Anatidae. The transcript is spliced from 19 exons. The record is from RefSeq and is a predicted model, not a curated record.
GCGGCGGGAGCGCGGGGUGCGGAGCCCGGCCGCGCGGCUCGGGGCGGCGCUGAGGCGGGCGGGCGCUGAGGCGGCCGUUUCCUGUCCUGGUGCAUGGUGGUCGGACGGAGGAAUUGUUGGAAAAUUUCUCGGCGAGGUGGACAAUGUUACUAGCUCAGAUAAAUCGAGACUCUCAGGGAAUGACUGAAUUUUCUGGAGGAGGAAUGGAGGCCCAGCACGUGACUCUCUGUCUGACAGAAGCUGUAGCUGUGCAAGAUGGUGACAACUUAGAAAAUAUGGAAGGUGUAAGUUUGCAAGCAGUUACCCUUGCUGAUGGCUCCACAGCUUACAUACAGCACAAUUCUAAAGAUGGUAAAUUGAUGGAUGGCCAAGUGAUUCAACUAGAAGAUGGUUCUGCAGCUUAUGUUCAACAUGUACCCAUGCCUAAAAGUAGGGACAGCUUGCGUCUGGAAGAUGGACAGGCAGUUCAGCUGGAAGAUGGAACUACAGCAUUUAUUCAUCACACCUCCAAAGACAGUUACGACCAGAGUGCAUUACAAGCAGUCCAGUUGGAGGAUGGAACUACUGCCUACAUUCACCACGCAGUACAAAUGCCACAGUCAGAUACCAUUUUAGCCAUUCAAGCUGAUGGCACAGUGGCCGGUCUUCAUACAGGAGAUGCUGCCAUUGACCCAGAUACCAUCAGUGCUUUGGAGCAAUAUGCAGCUAAGGUCUCUAUUGAUGGAAAUGACAGUGUUAGCGGCACAGGAAUGAUAGGUGAAAAUGAACAAGAUAAAAAAAUGCAGAUUGUCUUGCAAGGACAUGGAACAAGAGUGACUGCAAAAUCUCAGCAGAGUGGAGAGAAAGCAUUUCGCUGUGAUUAUGAUGGCUGUGGAAAACUGUACACAACAGCUCACCAUCUUAAGGUACAUGAAAGGUCACACACAGGAGACAGACCGUAUCAGUGUGAACAUCCUGGAUGUGGUAAAGCUUUUGCAACAGGGUAUGGGUUAAAAAGUCAUGUCCGAACACACACUGGUGAAAAGCCGUAUCGGUGCACAGAAGAAAAUUGCACCAAAUCGUUCAAGACUUCAGGAGACCUGCAGAAACACAUUCGAACUCACACAGGUGAAAGGCCCUUUAAAUGUCCUUUUGAAGGAUGUGGCAGGUCGUUCACAACGUCUAAUAUUAGAAAGGUUCACAUCAGGACACAUACAGGCGAAAGACCUUAUUACUGUACAGAGCCAGGAUGUGGGAGAGCUUUUGCCAGUGCAACUAAUUAUAAGAAUCAUGUGAGAAUACACACAGGGGAAAAGCCCUAUGUCUGUACAGUUCCUGGUUGUGAUAAACGUUUUACAGAGUAUUCCAGUUUAUACAAACAUCACGUUGUACAUACUCAUUCCAAACCAUACAACUGUAAUCACUGUGGGAAAACAUACAAGCAGAUUUCUACACUCGCUAUGCACAAGCGGACAGCACAUAAUGACACGGAGCCAAUUGAAGAAGAACAAGAGGCUUUUUUUGAGCCACCUCCAGGUCAAGGUGAAGAUGUUCUCAAAGGCUCACAGAUAGCCUAUGUGACAGGUGUGGAGGGAGAAGAUGUAAUUUCUGCACAGGUUGCUACAGUUACUCAGUCAGGAUUAGGUCAACAAGUAGCACUAAUUUCCCAGGAUGGAACCCAACAUGUCAACAUAUCUCAGGCAGAUAUGCAGGCCAUAGGAAAUACUAUCACUAUGGUAACACAGGAUGGCACCACUAUCACAGUCCCCACCCAUGAUGCUGUCAUCUCUUCUGCGGGAACGCAUUCUGUAGCAAUGGUUACUGCAGAAGGCACUGAAGGACAGCAGGUUGCUAUUGUGGCUCAAGACUUAGCAGCAUUUCAUAGCGCCUCAUCAGAAAUGGGACAUCAGCAACAUGGGCACCAUUUAGUGACUACAGAAACUAGACCUGUUACGUUGUUGGCUACAUCCAAUGGAACACAAAUUGCAGUACAGCUUGGAGAACAACAGUCUCUGGAAGAAGCCAUUAGAAUAGCCUCCAGAAUACAACAGGGUGAAACACCAGGGAUUGAUGAUUAACUUCUAAAACUGCUACCAGAACAAUAGAGCGAAAGUUCUGAGUGCCUGCAGCUACCACUCACUACCUAGGAUAUGCUGAUAAUCAGUGCUUUUGAAAAUCAGGACAGAAGUUACUAGAAAAAAGGGAUUAACUAAUGAUGAUUUUUUGGAAACGGUGGUGGAAGUGAUUUAGCAAAGAAAAAACUUGUUCUUCUCAUUUCCCAGGACAUUUUCUGACCACUGUACAAAUGCUGCAGAGAGGAGCCCUCAAGACCUGCUGUUGUCCGUGCUGUGAAGCAUCCAGAAUAUCCUGCGCUGCCGAGUGGGGGCAGCCCUCAAGGGAGGCAGAACAAGUGCUUCAGGUUUGCCCUGAGGCCUCAGCUCCUGGAGAUCAGCCCAUUGAAAAGGAAACAGCGAACAACAGAAAUAUGGUUAAGUACAAACUUUAUUCUUUAUUGACUGUGUGCUUUAAUGCAUUGUCUUAUCAGGUUUCAGACUCAGACUGUGCUCUUUGUAGAAAUGUCCCCUUUGUAGCAGAUCAGUUUUGGUGGCGAGGCUCGCAGGGGGCACCAGCUAACAUCAUCAGGGCUGUUCUGUUCUGCAGGGUCAGAGCAUCCCACAUAGCCUCCUCACCUCUCAGGAAAGUGAACCUGUGGUGUCGCCCCCAUAUUUAGGGGAUAAGAGACUGGGGAGGCUGACAGGAACUCAGCAUGGAUGUGCACCUGACUUUCUGUGGGUUGCUUGGGCUCCUGUGGCUGUAAACAUCAAGAUUUGUCAGGACCUUUGUUACUCGAGCAGUUUGUUUUAAGGUGAUCUGGUACAGAAGAGAGAUUGGCAGUUUUAUUGGGUUGCAUGUAAUCAAGGUAGUACAAGACAAAAGGAAGUGGGGAGGUGAAGUUGUGGCAUCUGUCAGGGGAUUGCUUGUCUGAUUAAUGGCACCUGCUGCACGUCACAUUUGCUGCGCUGGGACUUUUUGGUCCUUUUUAAAAAGGUCUUGUGGAAACUAUUAGUGACAUCUUGGGCUGCUGUGUUUGAGGCUCCUAUUUCUGGGUGUGUUUAAAUCAGAUGAAUCACUUUAUCUGAAAUGGAUUAGAACACUGAUUAGCUCAAAAAAAAAAAAAAAAGUGUCUUUAACUAGCCUAAAAGGCGUUGUUACCGCUUUAGGGCACACAAAACAGUUGUGGAGUGCAAAAAUUUGGCUGCGAAGCGGGGCGUCCCGCAGCGCACAGGCUGGAGGCAGACGG